This 85-nucleotide small RNA is filed under the name Necator americanus (New World hookworm). RNAcentral's name for it is "Nematode sRNA ceN72-3_ceN74-2". It matches the Rfam family "Nematode sRNA ceN72-3_ceN74-2". Lineage: Eukaryota; Metazoa; Nematoda; Chromadorea; Rhabditida; Ancylostomatidae. The record is from Rfam by way of RNAcentral.
GUCAACGGUCCGGAGUCGGCGGAUUAUCGAAUCGGAAGGACUCGUGUUCAAAAUGAACGCUCCAUCGGCACAACUUGACCGUUGU